Long non-coding RNA from Arvicola amphibius (Eurasian water vole), 1008 nucleotides. RefSeq lists it as uncharacterized. The transcript has 2 exons. NCBI's taxonomy places the organism in Eukaryota, Metazoa, Chordata, Mammalia, Rodentia, Cricetidae. The record is from RefSeq and is a predicted model, not a curated record.
GAUGGGAACUGCCCCUCCCUGUUUCCUGGCUGGUUAAAAUCCCAGCUGUCCAGUGGGUAUAGGAACUGCCACCAAGCCCGAUAACCAGAGCUCUGUCUUGGGACCCAUUUCCCUCUGAUCUCCACGUGGGCAGCAAGGCACACAUAUGUACACAAUCAAACAAGUAUGAUUCCAAACACUGUAAACAAGCUCUCCUGGUGCCUGGGAGCAUUCAGGACGCUGGAGCCAAAGGGUGCCCCAGAGGCACCUUGACAGGUGGCAGACACAGAGACACCCUGACGUACACUCUAGCAUCCCCAAGAGGUCCCCUGGUCAGUCGGAAAGGCAGCAUUCUUUGUCUGUGCCAUCCACCUUUUUAAGAAGACCAGUCAAGCGAGUGCCGUGAUUGGCUCCAGUACUCUGGAGGUGGAUGGGAGGGUUAUUGCAGGGGCUGUGCUGUCCAGGGCCACGGGCAGACCUUGUCUCAGAACAACAAAACCCACAGAAACCACAACAGGAAACACAAAAGCCAACUUUCAGGUUGGGUGGCCUCUGUCUAUCAGGUGGGGUGGCCUCUGUCUCCCAGGUGGGGUGGCCCCUGUCUCCCAGGUGGGGUGGCCCCUGUCUCCCAGGUAGGGUGGCCUCUGUCUCCCAGCUGGGGUGGCCUCUGUCUCCCUGGUGGGGUGGUCUAAUCUGACUACAAGUGUAGCUGAGGCUGUGGAGAAUGAACGGGCCAUCUCCCAUGCUGGCUGCAGAUGGCCACACUCCAGGAGCCCCACCAGCCCCACCUUGGCGUCAGCGUGUUGUAUGCUUUGUCUCACUCUUGUUUAAGAAAUGCAGUCCACUGUCUUCCAAAAAAGACAAAAAAGAUUUGUUCUCUGGUGAUUUGUUAUAAAGUGUCUCCCACUCUACAGACAGAUGUCCCUUUGUGCAACCCUCAUAGCAGGAGAAGUCCACCCGGUCCUCUGCUGCAGACCUCUGCUGUGCAGUCCUCUCAUUUUAAUAAAGACGACCUGUGCUGAGUUCUCA